CCUACGGGAGGCAGCAGUGAGGAAUAUUGGUCAAUGGGAGAGAUCCUGAACCAGCCAAGCCGCGUGAGGGAAGACGGCCCUAUGGGUUGUAAACCUCGUUCAGCAGGGAAGAUAUUGACGGUACCUGCAGAAGAAGCUCCGGCUAACUACGUGCCAGCAGCCGCGGUAAUACGUAGGGAGCGAGCGUUAUCCGGAUUCAUUGGGCGUAAAGCGCGCGUAGGCGGCUGCCUAAGCGGAACCUCUAACCCCGGGGCUCAACCUCGGGCCGGGUUCCGAACUGGGCGGCUCGAGUGCGGUAGAGGAGG
Molecule: ribosomal RNA, 305 nt
Filed under: uncultured bacterium
Lineage: Bacteria
Description: bacterial SSU rRNA
Rfam family: Bacterial small subunit ribosomal RNA
Source: RNAcentral